GGACUACAAGGGUUUCUAAUCCCGUUUGCUCCCCUAGCUUUCGCGCCUCAGCGUCAGUGUCGGUCCAGGACGCCGCCUUCGCCACCGGUGUUCCUCCGGAUAUCUACGCAUUUCACCGCUACACCCGGAAUUCCACGUCCCUCUCCCGAACUCAAGCCAAGCAGUUUUCCGUGCGGUUCCUCAGUUGAGCCGAGGGAUUUCACACGGAACUUACAAGACCGCCUACGCGCCCUUUACGCCCAGUAAUUCCGAACAACGCUUGCUGCCUCUGUAUUACCGCGGCGGCUGGCAC
Molecule: ribosomal RNA, 292 nt
Filed under: uncultured Acidobacteriota bacterium
Lineage: Bacteria; Pseudomonadati; Acidobacteriota
Description: uncultured Acidobacteria bacterium partial 16S ribosomal RNA
Source: RNAcentral